This 227-nucleotide unclassified non-coding RNA is filed under the name Alloiococcus otitis. Its description in RNAcentral is "16S-23S ribosomal RNA intergenic spacer". Lineage: Bacteria; Bacillati; Bacillota; Bacilli; Lactobacillales; Carnobacteriaceae. The record is from RNAcentral.
AUCCUGCCAAAGGGCAGGGGAACUUGCACUGGGCCAUUGUUUGUUUAGUUUUGAAGGAUGUAUUCCUUCCCUUGUUCUUUGAAAACUGAAUAGUUGAAUCGACAUUUAUCAUCAAAUGAAGACAACACCGAGAUAGCGGAAUGAGCAAUCAUUCCACGUUGAAGAGUCUAUUUUAUUGCAAGGCAAUAAACGAGAACACAACGCUACACAUACUCACUUAACUCCGG